This 59-nucleotide ribosomal RNA is filed under the name Lactifluus aff. glaucescens EDC-2013. Its description in RNAcentral is "partial 18S ribosomal RNA". It matches the Rfam family "Eukaryotic small subunit ribosomal RNA". Lineage: Eukaryota; Fungi; Basidiomycota; Agaricomycetes; Russulales; Russulaceae. The record is from RNAcentral.
UUAGAGGAAGUAAAAGUUGUAACMAGGUUUCCGUAGGUGAACCUGCGGAAGGAUCAUUA